RNAcentral lists this unclassified non-coding RNA (236 nucleotides) under plant metagenome. Its description in RNAcentral is "partial contains small subunit ribosomal RNA, internal transcribed spacer 1, and 5.8S ribosomal RNA". The record is from RNAcentral.
UCUCCGUUGGUGAACCAGCGGAGGGAUCAUUACCGAAGUUACCUUCAAAACCCACUGUGAACCUUACCUCUUGCCGCGUUGUCUCGGCGGGAGGCGGUGUGCGUCGCGCGCCCUAGCGGGCCGUGCCGCUCCCGUCCCCGCCGGCAGCGCCAAACUCUAAAUGCACAGCGGACUGUACGUUCUGAUUUACAAAAAAAAAUAAGUUAAAACUUUCAACAACGGAUCUCUUGGUUCUG